This 1274-nucleotide ribosomal RNA is filed under the name metagenome. Its description in RNAcentral is "bacterial SSU rRNA". It matches the Rfam family "Bacterial small subunit ribosomal RNA", at positions 239 to 1498 of the family's 1533-position model. The record is from RNAcentral.
CAUUAGCUUGUUGGUAGGGUAAUGGCCUACCAAGGCUACGAUGGUUAGCUGGUCUGAGAGGAUGAUCAGUCACACUGGAACUGGAACACGGUCCAGACUCCUACGGGAGGCAGCAGUGAGGAAUUUUGCGCAAUGGGGGAAACCCUGACGCAGCAACGCCGCGUGAGCGAAGAAGGCCUUCGGGUCGUAAAGCUCUGUCAAGUGGGAAAAAAGCCUUCGGUUAAUAACCGGAAGGUCUGAUGGUACCACUGGAGGAAGCACCGGCUAACUCCGUGCCAGCAGCCGCGGUAAUACGGAGGGUGCAAGCGUUGUUCGGAAUUACUGGGCGUAAAGCGCGUGCAGGCGGUUUGGUAAGUCAGAUGUGAAAGCCCUGGGCUCAACCCGGGAAGUGCAUUUGAAACUGCCUUUCUUGAGUAUGGGAGAGGAGAGUGGAAUUCCCAGUGUAGAGGUGAAAUUCGUAGAUAUUGGGAGGAACACCCGUGGCGAAGGCGACUCUCUGGACAAAUACUGACGCUGAGACGCGAAAGCGUGGGGAGCAAACAGGAUUAGAUACCCUGGUAGUCCACGCCGUAAACGAUGAGAACUAGGUGUAGCGGGUAUUGACCCCUGCUGUGCCGAAGUUAACGCAUUAAGUUCUCCGCCUGGGGAGUACGGCCGCAAGGCUAAAACUCAAAGGAAUUGACGGGGGCCCGCACAAGCGGUGGAGCAUGUGGUUUAAUUCGACGCAACGCGAAGAACCUUACCUGGGUUUGACAUCCUCUGACUGCCCCGGAAACGGGGUUUUUCCGAUUCUGUCGGAACAGAGUGACAGGUGCUGCAUGGCUGUCGUCAGCUCGUGUCGUGAGAUGUUGGGUUAAGUCCCGCAACGAGCGUAACCCUUGUCUUUAGUUGCCACUAUUAAGUUAGGCACUCUAAAGAGACUGCCUCGGUUAACGGGGAGGAAGGUGGGGAUGACGUCAAGUCCUCAUGGCCUUUAUACCCAGGGCUACACACGUGCUACAAUGGGCUGUACAAAGGGUUGCCACUUCGCGAGGAGGCGCUAAUCCCAAAAAGCAGUCCUCAGUUCGGAUUGGAGUCUGCAACUCGACUCCAUGAAGGUGGAAUCGCUAGUAAUCGUGGAUCAGCACGCCACGGUGAAUACGUUCCCGGGCCUUGUACACACCGCCCGUCACACCACGAAAGUCGACUGUACCAGAAGUUGCUGGGCCAACCCCUUUUGGGGGGGCAGGUACCUAAGGUACGGCCGGUAAUUGGGGUGAAGUCGUAACAAGGUA